RNAcentral lists this long non-coding RNA (202 nucleotides) under Mytilus galloprovincialis (Mediterranean mussel). Lineage: Eukaryota; Metazoa; Mollusca; Bivalvia; Mytilida; Mytilidae. The record is from RNAcentral.
AGCAACUUAUCAUUAUUAUUUUCUACUCAUAAAAUGGUGACAUUAUUAAAAUAGUUUGUAUUAACAACUAGGUUCACAAAACAGAGAAGUUUUUAUUGGAUACGGACUUUAAAAAAAAUAUUACACUGCUAUUGGCUAGAAGUCCCAAUUUCCAAAUUCCGUGAAAAAGAUGGCGUUUUAAAUCGAAAACGAGGUCGGUGAC